AGCGAACGUUUGCGGCGGGCCUAACACAUGCAAGUCGAACGGGCUAGCAAUAGUCAGUGGCGCACGGGUGCGUAACACGUGGGUAAUCAACCCUUCAGCUCGGGAUAACGCCUUGAAAGGGGCGCUAAUACCGGAUACGACGCGAGGAGCUUCGGCUGCUUGCGGGAAAGAUUCGCAAGGAUCUCUGAAGGACGAGCCUGCGGCCCAUCAGCUAGUUGGUGAGGUAAGAGCUCACCAAGGCGAAGACGGGUAGCUGGUCUGAGAGGAUGAUCAGCCACACUGGAACUGAGACACGGUCCAGACUCCUACGGGAGGCAGCAGUGGGGAAUAUUGCGCAAUGGGCGAAAGCCUGACGCAGCCACGCCGCGUGGGCGAAGAAGGCCUC
This 385-nucleotide ribosomal RNA is filed under the name uncultured bacterium. RNAcentral's name for it is "bacterial SSU rRNA". It matches the Rfam family "Bacterial small subunit ribosomal RNA", at positions 29 to 418 of the family's 1533-position model. The record is from RNAcentral.